GUUUGGAUGAAUCAGUGGGUGGAAAGCACAUGAAGAUGAUAAGAAAAUUCGCAAAAAGAUUUCAGCAUGUAUCGGAAUGCAGCAUAUCUGAGGAGGACGACGAAUGAAAUGAAGUGUGUGGUCAUAAUGGUUUUCGUAUUCAAGAUGAAUGUAACCUGCACUUCGGCAACCCAAUCACAUUUACAAUUUUUAAGAAAGGGGGAACCAAAAUAUCUCCCUUCUGGCUCAGUGCCGAAAUUAGGUUCAUAUCAAAUUAAGAACCACACAGGGAUAAAUUCGACAGAAACCUUUACGAUCUGGAUGGGAAAAAUGAGAAUAGGAACUUCCGCUUAAGGUUUCAACCGUAUCGAACGAGUAAGGCAAGUUAGAUGUGUGGGCCACAAAGGCCAGCAGAACAUGAAUCGAAAAAGAAAAGGAGAAGGAUGAAAUUGAAAACCAGGAACGGGAAAA
Uranotaenia lowii is the source of this 450-nucleotide long non-coding RNA. RefSeq lists it as uncharacterized. The transcript has 3 exons. The record is from RefSeq and is a predicted model, not a curated record. Lineage: Eukaryota; Metazoa; Arthropoda; Insecta; Diptera; Culicidae.